This 223-nucleotide ribosomal RNA is filed under the name uncultured bacterium. RNAcentral's name for it is "partial 16S ribosomal RNA". It matches the Rfam family "Bacterial small subunit ribosomal RNA", at positions 524 to 748 of the family's 1533-position model. The record is from RNAcentral.
UACGUAGGGUGCAAGCGUUAAUCGGAAUUACUGGGCGUAAAGCGUGCGCAGGCGGUGAUGUAAGACAGGUGUGAAAUCCCCGGGCUUAACCUGGGAACUGCAUUGUGACUGCAUCGCUGGAGUGCGGCAGAGGGGAUGGAAUUCCGCGUGUAGCAGUGAAAUGCGUAGAUAUGCGGAGGAACACCGAUGGCGAAGGCAAUCCCCUGGGCCUGCACUGACGCUC